UAUUAGUCAAUGCUCGCAAGAGUGAACUAGCUAACUGAAAUCAUAUAAGUGUCUUAUGUGAUGUCGUAAGGGAAAAUAAUGAUAUUACCUUACUAAUAGUGUCGUCUAAAACUGGUGCCAGAAGACUCGGUAAGGCCAGAGACACGAAUGUUAAUCGUCUUAAUCAGGCGUAAAGGGUUUGUAGGCUGCUUUGAAAGUACUGAUUUAAUAUAGCUAUUAUAGCUCAGUAUCAAUUAAAGCUAGAAUCUAAGAGAGGAUAUUUACGAUAUAAUGCUUGGUCGAGGGCUGAUAUCCAUAGACACCAAGUGGAAUACAAGUGGCGUAAGCAUUUAUCCAAUAAAGAUUGACGCUGAGACACGAAAGUGAGGAUAGGAAAUAGGAUUAGAUACCCAGGUACCCCUCUCUGUCAACGAUGAAUGGUAAUUAGUAGUUGUAAUAGAACUAGUGAUGAAGUUAACACGUUAACCAUUCCGCCUUGUGAGUACGGCUGCAAAGUUGAAAACAAAAAAAUUAGUCGGUCUUGGAGCAAACGAAGUGAAGUAUGUUAUUUAAU
RNAcentral lists this ribosomal RNA (553 nucleotides) under Junghuhnia pseudozilingiana. RNAcentral describes it as "SSU rRNA". It matches the Rfam family "Bacterial small subunit ribosomal RNA", at positions 362 to 950 of the family's 1533-position model. Lineage: Eukaryota; Fungi; Basidiomycota; Agaricomycetes; Polyporales; Steccherinaceae. The record is from RNAcentral.